Ailuropoda melanoleuca (giant panda) is the source of this 1041-nucleotide long non-coding RNA. RefSeq lists it as uncharacterized. The transcript has 5 exons. The record is from RefSeq and is a predicted model, not a curated record. Lineage: Eukaryota; Metazoa; Chordata; Mammalia; Carnivora; Ursidae.
GGAUAAACAUCGGUAUCUGCACAUACAAAGUAAAAUGGAUUAGAAGAUUACACAAGGCAAAUGGCAGUGACGAAGUAUUUGUGCCACUCAUGAUGACAUGCUCUGUAUGCUAUAAAAUAUGGCUAUUAUUCAUUAACGCUAAGGCAGCUAUAAUGAAAUUGAAGGAAGAAAAUGUCAAUCUCGUUCUCCCCAAAGGAUUGUUCUCACUCUGGAUAAAGACAGUGAACUUCACAGGUUUUUUUGUCUAAAGUAACUGCUAUGCUUGUAGCUGCGCCAGAGCUGCUGAGGAAGCAGUGGCUCCUCCCUUUACUUUCAUGAUCAAUACAGCACUCUCCCCUUUAUCCGUGGUCCGCCUCCCGAGGUUUCACUUAUCCGCGGUCAGCCAAGAUGCAGAAGCAGACAAUCCUCCUUCUGAUGUAUGAUCGGAAGAUCAACCGUCGCCUAAGGCUAUGUCACAUGGCUACGUCACUCACCUCCCUUCAUCUGGUCACACAGACACGUUAUCAUCUCACAUCAUCACCAGAACAAGAAGAUUUUCAGCUUUCGAUAUCACAGUGAACAACACAACAGCAUGGUCGAGAGCUCCAAGUCUGAGCGAGAUCCCUGGAUGUGAAUCCUCACUCUACCAAGUGACUAAAGGUUACAGAACUGUAUACUGAAUGACAUACAUUCUCUAAAUGUAAUCGGUACCGAAAUUUGCUUCAGAAGUGCAAUGAGGGCAGGGAGCGGAUGAAGGAACGCUAAAGCAAGAUGUGUCGUCAUUUGUUUUGAAGCUGAGCUGUAAGAACAUGGGGGAGAGAAUCCAGGAUACAGGAAAGAUCCAACACAGGAGAACUAAAGAGAAUCCAGCUGUGCCCCAGACAAGGACAACCAGGCCAGACUGAAGUGGUGUAACCCGAGGCAGAGUGAAGAGUCCUGCAGCACUAUUAUCGGUAAAAAUGUUUAACGUGUGUUCUACGUUUGACACCUAAGCGGAUUUGAAACACAAGAGGACAAAUAAGAGACUAAAGAUGAUGGGAAAAGACGUGUGACAAGCCUGGG